This 398-nucleotide ribosomal RNA is filed under the name uncultured bacterium. Its description in RNAcentral is "partial 16S ribosomal RNA". It matches the Rfam family "Bacterial small subunit ribosomal RNA", at positions 523 to 918 of the family's 1533-position model. The record is from RNAcentral.
AUACGUAGGGUGCGAGCGUUGUCGGGAAUUACUGGGCGUAAAGAGCUCGUAGGUGGUUUGUCGCGUCGUCUGUGAAAUUCCGGGGCUUAACUCCGGGCGUGCAGGCGAUACGGGCAUAACUUGAGUACUGUAGGGGAGACUGGAAUUCCUGGUGUAGCGGUGAAAUGCGCAGAUAUCAGGAGGAAAACCGGUGGCGAAGGCGGGUCUCUGGGCAGUAACUGACGCUGAGGAGCGAAAGCAUGGGUAGCGAACAGGAUUAGAUACCCUGGUAGUCCAUGCCGUAAACGGUGGGCGCUAGGUGUAGGGGUCUUCCACGACUUCUAUGCCGUAGCUAACGCAUUAAGCGCCCCGCCUGGGGAGUACGGCCGCAAGGCUAAAACUCAAAGGAAUUGACGGGG